This is a non-coding RNA of Coturnix japonica (Japanese quail), 1728 nucleotides long. Lineage: Eukaryota; Metazoa; Chordata; Aves; Galliformes; Phasianidae. The record is from RefSeq and is a predicted model, not a curated record.
AAUGUUCUCUGAGUCAUUGACUCCAACAAGAUAUUCUUGGUUAGGGGUUGUAAGGGUUUUUCCUUUGGUUUUGCUUAUUCUAAACAAAACCUUUAUUAAGAAAAAUAAGGCCCGCAGCAUAGUGGAAUAUAUAACUAUUUCUAUGCCUCUGUAAGACUAAAGAAAAAAAUUAUGACUUUUUGUACUAAUAAAAUAUCUCUUCCAGAAUGUAAUAUAAAAAUCACUCACCAAACAAUGCAAGGAAUUCACAGGUGUGUUUUCAGAUAAUGCAAAAUGACUGGAUUCUGUUGAGACUGCUGGGCUUGAUAAAUAAUAAUAAUAAUAAUAACAACAACAACAACAAUAAUAAUAAUUCUGCUUUACUAACAAUAAUUGCACUGUGCGCAUUUGUUCUUGCUGAGAAUCUUACCGAGUCAGUUAUGCCUUUUAUACUCGUUGCUUGGAAAUACUGGAAAUUAGAAAACAUGAAAGGACUUUAAGUAUCUUCUCAGAUAAUAAAAAGAACAUAGGGCUAACAGUAGCUGUCAAGAACAUGUUACACCUGGAAAGGAAAUGUUUGAGGAAGAAUAACAAAAUGAGCCUUUUUUGAUAUACCCAUUGUAACCGUGUGUAACAGCUGGUCUAAUCUUUGGGACUGGGACUCAACUGACUGUGGAGCCAAAUAACCAGAGAGAUUCUACUCCAGAGGUCAUUGUGAUGAAAUCAAAGAAACAUGAAGAAGAUGGUGGCACUGGGAAAGCAGCUUGUUUGGCAAGGAAUUUUUAUAAAAAGAACAUCAGUUUGGAGAUGUCCUCUGAUGAAGUUGUAUAUGAACCAAAAGCUCCCAUUGUGACAUCAAACGGAAUAUAUAAUACUAUUAAAGUGGUCAAAGUGAAAAAAAAAUCGGAGGUGACGUGCACGGCCAGGUUAAGCAAUGGCAAUUUUACAGCCAACUCAACAUCACCAGAAAUGAAAGCUGAAGAAAUAAAGCCAGCAAAUGUUUGCAACACCACAGACACCUCUGCAGAAGAUAUCAAAAUGGAGAAAGUGAACAUGUUGUCCAUGGCUGUGUUGGGUUUGAGAGUACUUCUGGCAAAAAGUAUUGCCUUUAAUACACUCAUGAGUAUCAAGUUGAUUCUUUUCUGAGGCAAUGGAGAAAAAAAAGGCAGCAAAAGUGUGAGGAACAGCAGGAGAGAGCGUUUACCAGCAGAAUGAAUUUCAGAGGUGGAAAACCUUCCUAAACAGUUCAUGUAACUGCUGGAGUUGUAACUGAUUUUGCUAUUUCUUGUUCUCUGUGAACUGAAGAGAGUAUAUUUUUCUUCAUUCCUUUGCUAAGUAGAAAUUGCUUUUCCCACUCUUUUAUCUUUUGCAUAUAAGCAUCCCACCAGCACUGAUAAUUUUAAAAAUCAGAGCCUCACAAUAGGUAUGCAACCAUUUAAAAACACCUUUACAGGAAUGCUGCAUUACUCCAGAGAGCCGAGAUUUUACUGCUAAGAGGAUUCAGGAGAGGCUACUAAUGGUCUUAUUGCUUUUUAGAUAGCUUCAGUAACAAUCUUUUUCUAGUGUAGAUGAGGGAAUCUGUGUUGGACCUGAAGUGAUUCAGUGCAACCAGAUAAUAUUCAACCACAGUAACAUUUAUACUUGCAUUUCUUUACUUAACUUGUUAACUUCUGCAAAGUGUACAACACCUCCAUUUUAAGUAACUGUAGUAAUUACCCAAAUAAAGUUUUAGUGUGCUAAAGUGCUGUA